This 492-nucleotide ribosomal RNA is filed under the name uncultured bacterium. RNAcentral describes it as "partial 16S ribosomal RNA". It matches the Rfam family "Bacterial small subunit ribosomal RNA", at positions 29 to 507 of the family's 1533-position model. The record is from RNAcentral.
AGUGAACGCUGGCGGUAGGCCUAACACAUGCGAGUCGAACGGCAGCACAGUAAGAGCUUGCUCUUACGGGUGGCGAGUGGCGGACGGGUGAGGAAUGCAUCGGAAUCUACUUUUUCGUGGGGGAUAACGUAGGGAAACUUACGCUAAUACCGCAUACGACCUACGGGUGAAAGCAGGGGAUCUUCGGACCUUGCGCGAUUGAAUGAGCCGAUGUCGGAUUAGCUAGUUGGCGGGGUAAAGGCCCACCAAGGCGACGAUCCGUAGCUGGUCUGAGAGGAUGAUCAGCCACACUGGAACUGAGACAUGGUACAGACUCCUACGGGAGGCAGCAGUGGGGAAUAUUGGACAAUGGGCGCAAGCCUGAUCCAGCCAUACCGCGUGGGUGAAGAAGGCCUUCGGGUUGUAAAGCCCUUUUGUUGGGAAAGAAAAGCAGCAGGUUAAUACCCCGCUGUUCUGACGGUACCCAAAGAAUAAGCACCGGCUAACUUCGUG